RNA transcript from Schistocerca nitens (vagrant locust), 5243 nucleotides. It is a transcript of the gene named protein strawberry notch, with no coding region annotated. Lineage: Eukaryota; Metazoa; Arthropoda; Insecta; Orthoptera; Acrididae. The record is from RefSeq and is a predicted model, not a curated record. The transcript is spliced from 29 exons.
GGAAGGAACCUAAGAUGGCGGGAGGAAGCGUAGAAUAAAACAUUGAAGGAAGUUCGCGGUCUGACAAAAUGCCUCGUUCUAAGAAAGCGGUUACAAAGAAGGUUAACUACAAAGAAAUGAGUGAUAGUGAAGACAAUUCAGCUGGGUCAGGCAGUGAUUUUGAUGAUGACGAGGAUCCAGAUAAAAUUGAAGUUCCAGGUGGGGGCAAAGAUUUAGCUACAGCAGCUGCCAUAAGCACUUUGAAGGAGGAGGCUAAGGACAGUAAAGUCAAGGCAGAAGAUGGAAUUGCCAGCACUGAUGCUGCAGGGAACCAGGCAGGCAGCAAACUUCCUGGUGGACUGGUGACCAAAGGCAACUCUUCACUGGGUUACGAAAAGGUUCGUGUUGGAGCAGGACCUGGUCAGAUGCCAUUUCCGUUUGCCUCGCCAGGGCUCUUUCCCAAUAUGGGCUUUUACCCUGGCAUGGCUGGAAUUCCACAACAUGCAAUGAAUGCAGCAUUACUUCAGCAAUCAAUGGAUAUGGGCGCAUUAAAUGCAAUGGGACCCAUGAAUCCUUUAACAGCAUUGGGUGCUCUUGGAUUGAACCAUAUGAAUAUGCCACUGAACUCAUUUAUGAUGCAGCCAAAUGGAAGCCUUUUGACCCAGAUGAUGCAAGCAAGUGGUAUGAAUGCCAUGCACCAAGGCUGGGCUGGUGGCCUUCCAGGCAAAAUGGUGUCUCAGCUCUGGAUGAAUGAUGAAAGCAAGAUGAAUGCCCUAAGUGGUGUCCACGAGGAGGAGGAAGUCGAUGACGAAGAAAUGGGUGUGGCCGAGACAUAUGCAGACUACAUGCCUUCAAAGUUGAAACUGGGAAGGAAACAUCCAGAUCCUGUUGUGGAAACUGCAUCACUGUCCAGUGUAGAACCAACGGAUGUGUGGUACACCGUGUCACUGCCUGAUGAGACGGUUCGCUCCGGGGCUCUGUCAGCUCUUCAGCUCGAGGCUAUAACCUACGCCUCCCAGCAGCACGAGCAUUUCCUACCUGAUGGAACCCGGGCUGGCUUUCUUAUAGGUGAUGGAGCUGGAGUCGGUAAGGGCAGGACAAUAGCUGGAAUAAUCUUUGAGAACUACUUGAAGGGAAGAAAAAGGGCUAUCUGGGUUUCUGUAUCAAAUGAUCUGAAAUAUGAUGCAGAGAGGGAUCUGAGAGAUAUCGGAGCCAACAAAAUCGAAGUGCACGCACUUAACAAAUUCAAGUAUGCAAAGAUUUCAUCUGCGGUGAAUGGAAAUGUGAAGAAGGGAGUCAUCUUCUCAACAUAUUCAGCACUUAUAGGUGAAUCAUCUCAGUCUGGUGGAAAAUAUAAAACUAGAUUGAAGCAGUUGUUGCAAUGGUGUGGCGAUGACUUUGAUGGACCAGUGGUGUUCGAUGAAUGCCAUCGUGCCAAGAAUUUGUGUCCUGUUGGUUCCUCGAAACCAACCAAGACUGGCCUUACGGUCCUCGAGCUGCAAAAUAAACUUCCAAAAGCACGUGUAGUGUACGCAUCUGCUACUGGAGCAUCUGAACCUCGGAACAUGGCGUAUAUGACACGUUUAGGUAUCUGGGGGGAGGGCACGCCCUUCAAUGAGUUUAAUGACUUUAUCUCAGCAGUUGAAAAGCGAGGAGUUGGUGCUAUGGAAAUUGUGGCAAUGGAUAUGAAAUUACGAGGAAUGUAUAUUGCACGGCAGCUCAGUUUCCACGGCGUUUCAUUCAAAGUAGAUGAAGUUUCCUUAUCAGAUGAAUUUAUCAGAGUUUAUGAUGCAUCUGUAAAGUUGUGGGUGGAUGCCAUGCGAAAGUUCCAGGAGGCAGCUGAACUUGUUGAUGCGGAGAACCGUAUGAAAAAGACCAUGUGGGGACAGUUUUGGUCUUCACAUCAACGUUUCUUUAAAUACCUGUGUAUCGCAUCUAAAGUUAAUCACGCUGUCACAGUGGCACGGGAGGCUGUAAAGUGUGGUAAAUGUGUGGUUAUUGGCCUGCAGUCCACUGGAGAAGCAAGGACACUGGAGCAGUUAGAAAGGGACGAUGGGGAAUUGUCCGAUUUUGUUUCGACGGCAAAAGGUGUUCUGCAGUCAUUGGUGGAGAAACACUUUCCAGCUCCUGAUAGAAACCGCAUCCAUAGGCUGCUUGGGAUUGAUCCUCCGAAGAAAGAGAAGAUAAGUGAUAAUGGUGAUAUUGAUGCUGAACCUGGAGGUUCUAGUGGAGGGAAGAGGAAACCAGUGAGGCAAGCAGCUCAGCGAGCAGUGAAAAGGGUUCGAAUGUCAUCGUCAGAUGAGUCUGAUUCGGAUGUGGAUAAGGACAGCGCUGGUGGUGGUAAUAGCUCUGGUUCUGAAUUCAAACUUUCCGGAUCGGACUCCGAUGGCAGUGAAAGUGUAUCUGACAGCAACCAGAGCUCGGAUUUCAAUCCAUUUUAUUCAGAUAGUGAUUCUGAUGCAGAUCCCUGGGAUCGGCGCAAAAAGAAAGGUAAGAAGCAUAAGGCUCCAAAGAAGCGGCAGUCGACACAGGACAAAAUCAACUCUCUCUUCUCACGCAAGACGCACAAAGGAAAACGUAACGGUGAUGCCAGUGGAGGUGGUGGUCGUCCUCCUCCACCUCCAAGGGAUGCUAUUGAGAGAGCUUGCAGCAUGAAAGAAGACCUCUUGCGACAGAUAGAGGAACUUGGUGAUAAGUUGCCACCUAACACCCUAGACCAGCUUAUUGAUGAGUUGGGUGGCCCAGAGAAUGUUGCAGAGAUGACUGGUCGGAAGGGUCGUGUUGUACAGACUGAAGAUGGUAUUCAGUACGAAUCACGGUCAGAAGUUGAUGUUCCUCUAGAAACUCUGAACUUGACGGAAAAGCAAAGAUUUAUGGAUGGUGAGAAGGAUGUGGCCAUAAUAUCAGAAGCAGCUUCCAGUGGUAUAUCUCUUCAGAGUGACAGAAGAGCAAGGAAUCAGAGGCGACGUGUCCAUAUAACACUGGAAUUACCCUGGAGUGCUGAUCGUGCUAUACAACAAUUUGGUCGAACACACCGUAGUAAUCAAGUUAAUGCACCUGAAUACAUUUUCUUAAUUUCCGAUCUGGCUGGGGAAAGAAGAUUUGCUUCAAUAGUGGCCAAGAGGCUGGAGAGUUUGGGAGCACUAACUCACGGUGACCGCCGAGCAACGGAGACGAGAGACUUAUCUCAAUUUAAUAUUGACAAUAAGUACGGUCGAUCAGCUCUAGAAGCCACUAUGAAAACAAUAAUGGGCUAUGAACCACCACUAGUACCUCCACCAAAGGACUAUAAGGGAGAUUUCUUUAAAGAUGUGGCUGAUGCACUUGUCGGUGUGGGUCUCAUUGUGAAUAGUGAGAGUAUGCCCGGUGUUCUUAUGCUUGAUAAAGAUUACAACAACAUGAGCAAGUUCCUGAACAGAAUCCUGGGAAUGCCUGUCGACCUGCAGAAUAGGUUAUUUAAGUAUUUCACUGACACCCUUAAUGCCAUAGUAACACAAGCUAAGAAGUCUGGCCGAUUUGACAUGGGCAUAUUGGAUUUAGGCACAACAGGUGAAGAGGUAAAGCGAGUAAAGCUUUACACAUUCCUAAGAAAGCACGCCACAGGUUCAGCUGUGACAGAAUUACACAUAGUCCACGUAGAACGAGGAAUGAGCUGGGAAGAGGCGAUGGAAAAAUGGGGAGAACUGGAGGGGUCCCAUGAGGGGUUUUAUUUGUCACACCAGAUAAGGAACAAUAAGCAGACGGCAAUUUUGGCUGUUGCAGUAGGGACCCCUAAAGGAAAGAAGGAAAAUGACAAGAAGGCAAAAGAUCAAUUCUACACCAUUUACAGGCCCAAUACUGGAUUACAGCUGCGCCAAGAGACAUUAGGGGAAUUAGAGAAAAAGUACAAAAAGGUUUCUACGGAUGAUGCACAGUCCCACUGGACACAACAGUAUGACGCCUCAGUCACUACGUGUUCCCAUGCCUACUGGCGUGGAAACUGCAAAAAUGUGACUCUCGGCUUAGACUGUGAAGUUGGCCUCCGAAGGCGUACCUACAAUGUUCUGGCAGGUUCUGUACUGAGUGUGUGGACACGUGUUGAAAAUGUAUUGGCAGCGAAGUCUGGCCACAACAGCAAGAUGCAGGUAGUACGGCUACGUACAGGUGAAGGAGUCAAGAUUGUAGGAACUUUAAUUCCCAAGAGCUGUGUUGAAGCCCUCAGAGAUGCUCUUUCAUCAGAUGCAGAGAAGACAGAUGAACAAACAUUUUGAGGAGGUGAAAAUUGUUAACUCUAGGUUGGCAGCGGGUGACCGAUGCGAGUACCUAUACUAACAGCACGACAUCGCCUGCAACACCUCUCCUGGACUCGAUGACAGUAUGGGUCGGACCCUAGAUGACUGGAAAACUACGGCCUGGUCAAAUGAGUCCCAGUUUCAGUUGAUUUCAUGGACCAAGGAGGGAUGCAGUGAGUUGUGUUUGCAGUACCAAAUAUUGUGCUGAAAAGACAAGAGUGCUCGUGUAUACGUUGAUGGAAGAUGUGAUAUGUUAUGUGAUGUUUAGUAGGGAAACCGCAAUUAAAGCAACACAGUAUUUGUAAAGAGUGAAAUUCAUUUCCAGUUUCCAUAGGAGCAAUUCAUUUUUCACAGACUUCGUGUAUUACUGGAUAUAUAAUAAUACUUGUGCUUUAACUGUUUAAUAUUUCAUUCAUUUGUUUGUAAAAUAAGUACCAGGAGUCAGUCAAAGUUGUCAUGCUAUUAGCACAUGCUUCUCUAGUACACAUUACAGUGGUAGUUUCUUUGUUUUAGAUUGUCAUGCCGACUCACUGUCAUUUACUUCAGUACUGCAUAUUAUAGUGCACGUGAAAUGCAGCCUUUAUUUGCUUGUGAACUGUAGUAUUCUCUCCAAUCUGCUAAUUCGAUCUCAGUAUAAUGUGUGUUUUGGUUGCUGGAGCAGCUCUUCUGUAUUGGCAUUUCUGUUCUUCUUAAAGGAGGGAAGAUCUGCCCAGUGUCUAUUAACAGUGCAAGUACUUAUUCAGGGUGGCGUAUUACAAUGUGAAGGGAGCACUUGUAAUUGUAAGUUCAGCUUUUUCUUUUCUUUUUUUUUUAAGUAUGAACACUGGUAGAUAUAUUUCCAUUUUAAAAAGCUCAGUGAUAGAUUAUUGUAUGUUUUAGAUGAAGAAGUGACUUGUGAUACUGUGAUUUUAUUUAUACUUUUGUAAAUAUUGUUGGUCAUAAAUUUAAUUUAAAUGGAAGCCACUGAAACAAUAAAAUUAAUUUCUAUGGAAA